This 445-nucleotide ribosomal RNA is filed under the name uncultured bacterium. RNAcentral describes it as "bacterial SSU rRNA". It matches the Rfam family "Bacterial small subunit ribosomal RNA", at positions 17 to 507 of the family's 1533-position model. The record is from RNAcentral.
UCCUGGCUACAGAACGAACGCUGGGCGGCAUGCCUAACACAUGCAAGUCGAACGAGACCUUCGGGUCUAGUGGCGCACGGGUGCGUAACGCGUGGGAACUGCUUUAGGUUCGGAAUAACUCAGAGAAAUUUGAGCUAAUACCGGAUGAUGUCUUCGGACCAAAGAUUUAUCGCCUUUAGAUGGGCCCGCGUAAGAUUAGCUAGUUGGUGGGGUAAAGGCCUACCAAGGCGACGAUCUUUAGCUGGUCUGAGAGGAUGAUCAGCCACACUGGGACUGAGACACGGCCCAGACUCCUACGGGAGGCAGCAGUGGGGAAUAUUGGACAAUGGGGCGAAAGCCUGAUCCAGCAAUGCCGCGUGAGUGAUGAAGGCCUUAGGGUUGUAAAGCUCUUUUACCCGAGAUGAUAAUGACAGUAUCGGGAGAAUAAGCUCCGGCUAACUCCGUG